This is a long non-coding RNA of Poecilia latipinna (sailfin molly), 2046 nucleotides long. RefSeq lists it as uncharacterized. Lineage: Eukaryota; Metazoa; Chordata; Actinopteri; Cyprinodontiformes; Poeciliidae. The transcript is spliced from 3 exons. The record is from RefSeq and is a predicted model, not a curated record.
AAGAAAGAAAAACUGACUGUUAUUAUUAUUAAACUCUUGCCCCCUGGGAGAAGAGUGAAAACAUGUUGUUCUCUUGAGAAAAUCUCUUGUUGCUCUACUUUGCUCUUUUAACAGGGGAAUGCUUUGCUGCUCCAACGCUGUGACUUUCUGCACCGACAUCUUCACGAGGCACACCAAACAAAAAAAAAACCUUCCACAGCCGCUGCUGCCGGUCUCGUCGUCUGCUUUUGAUGCAGCAAAGCUGGGUGCAAGAGUUGUGCCGAGCAAACAGAGGUGAUCAGCGUUGGUGGCGACAUGCGCAGAAGAGUGUCUGCUUUGAGUCAAGCAGAACUGAUCUAUCAUUUCCACAGCAACGAUCAGAAGCAAGACCUUGCCCACAGUGAGCUCCAAACAGUUUGUUUAAUCUCAACGUUGCAUCACGCAAGUAUUUUUAGUGUUGUUGAGAUUAAUAUCCAGUCACCAUGUCUCUUUUUAACAGUUGUGGUCUUGGAUUUUCAGUCACUACAGGAGUCAGAAAACUCUUUGACAGGUUGCUUUCUGAAAAGGAUUUCAGGAAGCUAGCUCUCAGGAUCAGAGCAGAGUCUUUUGGGACGAUUCUUCCAAUGUGCCUGAAGAAAACACUAACCCAGACCGGGAAGUUUGGCGUGAGGAAAAGAAAAUGGCUUCCACAAAGUAAACAUCGCAAGCUGAAAAGAAAGUAGACGGUGAAAUCACAGCUAUCGAUUUGACAAGGAACACAUCACAAGCUGCACAUACAGUAUCUUCAAAUUGAAAAGUACCCUGGAUGAGGAUAUCUGUGAAACCAUAGCCCAAAGAGAACAUUUUGAUUUUCUUUUCCAGUCUUCCCAAAGGAAGACUUUGGAUGGGAAAGUUUUCUCUGAGGGACAAAAAGUUGAAUUUGAAACCAGUGAUGUUGAUUUGACAAAGAAGACGUUACAAUGCGGUGCGUUGUUUGAAGAAUUGAAAAUGACCCCUGAUGGGGAAGCAUGCGAUCAUGACAAUACAGUCUUUGAGAACAGAUUCUCCACUGUUCCAAGAAAAAAAACUUCCCUGGACCAGGAAGUUAUUAUGUCUGAGGAGAUUGACAUCACAGCCUUCGCUGUAAUUUCAACGAUUACAUAUAUCGCUUUGGCAGAGAAAACUUUUCUAGAUGGUACGUUCUCCAGUCUCUUUGAAUGGAAUUACCACUGAUAGCAUUUGUGCUAACAUUAGCAUUUUGGCUAAUUUUAGUUUAUACACUAAUACUGAAUAGAGAAGUCCAUGUUAGUCAACAUGCUUGAGAUUAUCCGCAUGCUGUUUAGUAAAUGUUAGCUAAGCUUAGCGUUGAUGCUAAUUUUAACCUGAUGCUAAUUUUUAGCAUCAGAGCACUGGGUUCCAACCAGCUUUUUCAGGCCCCGUUUAAAUUUCUUCAGAAAUUUUCUAGUCUGCACAUACAGUCCUCAUUCAAAGACAUGGACUGUCACCUGGGUGGGUUUUAGGCUAAUCAUCAGGAAGAAGCAGCAAUGGGCCACUGAUGAACUGUAAGGUAGGAGACUUUUAGACUCCAGUACUAAAAGGUGGUGAUGCAACAUAAGAGCCGCUGCUGCAAUCACCCCAUCAUCAUCAUCAUCAUCAGUGUUUCUCUCUGCAGUAGUCUAAACCAUUUAAAUAGAUUUUGAAAUCAACUUUAUUCCAUCCACACAACGGCAGACAACCAGAGGCAUUAAAACGUGUGGGAUUAUAUGUAAUUCCCUUUCUCUUCAGUACUUUAUGCCUGACUCUACAUGGAUAUUCUGCUCCAUUUUUAAAGUCGAUAAGUAAAGGAAAACUGACUCUUCAUAAGAUCUGCUGUGUGAUUCCUGCUCGUCUUGUGACGGGCAGUGCUGUGUGACAUCUGGUCAGUAAAUGUAAACAAAGCGUUGCGUAACCAGCGGCGCCCCUCGUGGUCUUGACUCAUGAAGAAUGAGCAGAAAUCUGGGAAAAUGUCACAGUGCAAAUACUUUUUUUUUUUUUUUUUACUAGCGUGUGUGUAACGCAGUGAUGUAAUAUUCUGUUAAAAGGAAUAUA